This is a long non-coding RNA of Pipistrellus kuhlii (Kuhl's pipistrelle), 357 nucleotides long. RefSeq lists it as uncharacterized. NCBI's taxonomy places the organism in Eukaryota, Metazoa, Chordata, Mammalia, Chiroptera, Vespertilionidae. The transcript is spliced from 3 exons. The record is from RefSeq and is a predicted model, not a curated record.
AUAUAUUCAGAAUGAAUAAAAAGUGCCACAGGAUAAGGGGAGAGGAAGACAUCCAUUCACAGAAGAUAGGGAAAAGCCACAGGGUACUGGGAGAAAGAGGAUACAAACUUUCACGGAGGACAGAGAAAUGCGGACAAAUGGGAGAAAGAGGAAAACAGAUUUUCACAAGGGAUAGAGAAUUCUACCACUGAACAGGGAAGGUAAGAAGGGGGCACCAUGUGGGGUUUGGGCUUCAAAGCUGAUAUAAUGACCAAUCAGAAGGGAAUAUGAAGAAACAAAGAACUGUAGCCUUUAUAAACUUUAGCAAAAAAGAGCUUGGUGGGUUACCCCUUUGGGACCUCCCCUUCCUACAUUGGA